Manis javanica (Malayan pangolin) is the source of this 961-nucleotide long non-coding RNA. RefSeq lists it as uncharacterized. The record is from RefSeq and is a predicted model, not a curated record. NCBI's taxonomy places the organism in Eukaryota, Metazoa, Chordata, Mammalia, Pholidota, Manidae.
UAAAAACAGUGGCACUUUCUGAUAAUGGGUAUUUGUUGUACUUCUGGUGCCACCAUCCUGACCAAAGAAGCAGGUCCGGAGACGAUCUCAUCACAGAAGGAAUACCCUGGGUUUGACAUGGAACAGUGCCACCAGUGAAGAAGCGUGAAUGAGGUAGGUUAAUGAUUACCUCGGGCAAACGGAAACUGUGCGUUCGGCUCAUUUUACAAGCUAGGUGCCACUGCGAUGGAGAACACACUGGCGAAAAUGAAACUCUUAAGUCCUUAAUGCACAAGGCUGGAAGCUUCUCUACGGAUUUGCUUCAGAACAAUCCCAGACAGUGGGGAACGGGGAGCAGGUAGAAGAAGGCAUGUAACAAGACCGGCCGAGAUGAUAAGCUAUUGGAUGACCUAUCGACCAAGAGGUGCCUUAACUGACAGGCCCACAACUGGAUCGUCUACUCCUCUUCCACACACUUUGACCUCUUGCAUUUCUGUGGCUCUCCAGGAGGGGGCAGCAUCUUACCGGCUGAAUUUGAGUUGUACAGACCACUAGGAACUCAAAGCAACCUUGGGCAGCUUUUUGUUAAACAAUCCUUCGCUGCUUCAGAAGGUUUAUUCUGCAUAACCCUUUUUAUCCUCACCCUGUGGCUACCCUCCCAGAGCAGGUACACUCUGGCAGCCUCCUGCAGGAGGCCCAGGCCCGCUCUGAUGCUGACUCGGCUCUGCACCUGCAUAAGCUACAGGUGUUCUCCCCUCAGUAGACUCACACUCAUUUUUUUUUGCCUUUGACUCCUCAAUGCUUAGGACAGUGACAGGUACACAACUGGGACUCAAAAAGUUCACGGGAGAAAUGAAGGCGUGAAUAAAGGAGCAAAGCUAUAAAGAAUCCAUGUCAGCUCACCUGGGCACCAAUUCAGACAGUGGACCUCAGUCUAUUCCCCAACUAGUUUUUCUCAAAUGACACUUUCAGGGAAUCUCAU